UUUUCAGUAUUUUUUUUUUCUGUGGAUCUUUUUUCUUCUUCUUUUUUUCAGUAGAUUGUACCUUAGAUUUGUGCCAAGCUUUCAGAACAAAAGGGUUUAAGAUCCUUAUCUGAAUACCCUCGUCGAACCAGUUUUUUGGCAAUUCUUUGUCGGAUACUGGAAUGCCCUGAUAGGUGCAUUUAAUAUGAACUUCCCUGCUCCAAUCCCUAAAAUCUUCUGACCAUUCGGGAUUUNNNNN
RNAcentral lists this long non-coding RNA (238 nucleotides) under Medicago truncatula (barrel medic). RNAcentral's name for it is "long non-coding RNA (MTRU_LNC003204)". Lineage: Eukaryota; Viridiplantae; Streptophyta; Magnoliopsida; Fabales; Fabaceae. The record is from RNAcentral.